Molecule: ribosomal RNA, 20 nt
Filed under: Heterococcus conicus
Lineage: Eukaryota; Xanthophyceae; Tribonematales; Heteropediaceae
Description: partial 5.8S ribosomal RNA
Source: RNAcentral
GCAUGCUUGCCGGAGUGUCU